AUUGAACGCUGGCGGCAGGCUUAACACAUGCAAGUCGAGCGGAUGAAGGGAGCUUGCUCCUGGAUUCAGCGGCGGACGGGUGAGUAAUGCCUAGGAAUCUGCCUGGUAGUGGGGGAUAACGUCCGGAAACGGGUGCUAAUACCGCAUACGUCCUGAGGGAGCAUGUGGGGGAUCUUUGGACCUCACGCUAUCAGAUGAGCCUAGGUCGGUUUAGCUAGUUGGUGGGGUAAAGGCCUGCCAAGGCGACGAUCCGUAACUGGUCUGAGAGGAUGAUCAGUCACACUGGAACUGAGACACGGUCCAGACUCCUGCGGGAGGCAGCAGUGGGGAAUAUUGGACAAUGGGCGAAAGCCUGAUCCAGCCAUGCCGCGUGUGUGAAGAAGGUCUUCGGAUUGUAAAGCACUUUAAGUUGGGAGAAAGGGCAGUAAGUUAAUACCUUGCUGUUUUGACGUUACCAACAGAAUAAGCACCGGCUAACUUCGUG
This 484-nucleotide ribosomal RNA is filed under the name uncultured bacterium. RNAcentral describes it as "partial 16S ribosomal RNA". It matches the Rfam family "Bacterial small subunit ribosomal RNA", at positions 30 to 507 of the family's 1533-position model. The record is from RNAcentral.